CGAAAGGGUGACGAAGCGACGCCGCGUGUGGGAAGAAGGCCUUCGGGUUGUAAACCACUGUCGGGAGUUAAGAAAUGUAAGGGUGUUAAUAGUAUCCUUACUUGACUAAGGCUCCGGAGGAAGCCACGGCUAACUCUGUGCCAGCAGCCGCGGUAAUACAGAGGCGGCAAGCGUUGUUCGGAAUUAUUGGGCGUAAAGAGCACGUAGGCGGUUCUGCAAGUCGGCUGUGAAAGCCUUCCGCUCAACGGAAGAACAGCAGUUGAUACUACAGGACUAGAGUGCGGGAGGGGAGAGUGGAACUUCUGGUGGAGCGGUGAAAUGCGUAGAUAUCAGAAGGAACGCCGGCGGCGAAAGCGACUCUCUGGCCCGUAACUGACGCUGAGUGUGCGAAAGCUAGGGGAGCAAACGGGAUUAGAUACCCCGGUAGUCCUAGCCGU
Molecule: ribosomal RNA, 437 nt
Filed under: uncultured bacterium
Lineage: Bacteria
Description: bacterial SSU rRNA
Rfam family: Bacterial small subunit ribosomal RNA
Source: RNAcentral